AGUGACGUGUAUUUCACGCUGAUAGACAUUAUUUUGUUGUUUUCCAAAUUAUUAGAACAAAAAAACUAAUUGACCUCUUUGGGAAUUGAUAUGUUCUUUGUUUUAUACUUCAAAUAAGUUUAAAAAAAUAUGUAUUUUUUUCAGUCCUCUUUAUUAUGUUCUUAACCUUACAGGGCAUGUUGUACCAUGUGUGAUACAAGUAAAAAUAUUUUUUUAAAAAAACAAUCGUACCUUAUAUUUGAUACAUACGGAAGUAAAACUGCACGGUGUAUAAUUUGAGUUACAAUGCAAUCUGUUCAUUCUGUAGUUUCCUCAUCAUCAACAGAUAACAGCACUAGUAUCGUAGAGUGCUUAAAAAAUGUUUCGUGUUGAUCAUUUUAUCAGUAGCAAAAACUUUCUCAAUUCAAUGUUACUAUACUUUAUUCUUUUUAAUUCAUGGUAAAAAAAAUUAUCAAUUUAAAAAUAUAUUUAGUAGUCUAUUACAUUUGAUAUAUUUAGUAAUCACCUUAUAUAUUUUAUAAAAGUAAAGUUUUUUGUUUGUAUCAUAGGUGAUACAUCAUGAAUAUCUGCAUGGUUGUUAAUAUUUGGUCUUUUUCAUUGUUGAUAUUUACAAAAUAGUGUUAGUGUUUUUUAACACAAGUGAGAAGUGACCUAAAGUUAUUAACACAAUUUACUUUGAAUUUAUUUAUUAAUACAAUAUACUCUUUGUUAAAAAUAUGGUGAAAAUGACAGUAUUUCAAAGAACUUGAGUUUGUCUUUACCAUCAACAUCAUCUUCCAGCCCUGUGCUAGAAAAAUGUGCAUCUUCAAAUGCAAUUAUCCUAGCAGAAGGCAUACCUGGAACUUUAUCAACAGUGAGGUAAGCCGUGCUAUCCAAAUUGACCGUGAAGGCGGAGAAAUUUAGUGGAUCCGGUCGAGUCCCCACCUGCUAUCGAUGUCAACGAAUUGGUCACCCCUCAGUCUGCUGCUCCCGCCUACCAAUGUGUUUCUAGUGUGCUGGGGACCACAUGGGCCGUGACUGCACCAGCACCUCCAAAAAAUGUGUCAACUGUGAUGGUGCCCACUUCGCCACGUCUACUGACUGUCCCAACAUCCAGGCCUACCUCCGGCACCAUCUGCAAAACCAACCCACUGCCCCUCCAGCUCCACCUGCGCCUUGCCCUGUAGUGCCCGCCAUCUCUGACCCCUAUCCUUUCCACCCCUUCCUCCUUCCUCUGACACCCCCCAUGCUCACCACUCAGCACCGCCCCCUCCGCUCCUCCCCUCCACGAAUGACCAUGCUUCUCCCGACGAAUGAAGGCCCCACAGAGGGACUAGCCUCAUCACCCGGCGAACCACAGUUCAACCGAUCCCCCCUUACGAUUCACCAUACUCGCCUCAGCUUGGUGCGGUCAUCAUCUAGCCGCACGACACCAUUUCUUCAAGCAUCAACUCCACCGCCAUCACCCAACAAGAAGCUGGACACCAGGGACCUUAGCUGUUGGAGGUGUCCUGCCCAUCACCACAGCAACAUUUCUGUCACCCCUCAGCCCUUCCGGGCCAUGUAAACCUUUUGUUUUGCCUUUUAUUUGUUUUAUAUUAAAGAUGAUUUUUGGUGGUCCCUGAAAACAGGGGACCCAUAAUUUAAAACAUAAAAAAAACUUUGUUUAGAUAUUGUAGAGAAAUUUUUUUUGUUCCCUUCAGUUUAAUUUAGAGUUUAAACAAACUAAUUAGUCUACUAUUUAAAAAAUGUCUAUAGGUCUUUAACAUAUUACUAGGUUGUAGUUCAGAAGUAAAAAUAUAUGUGUAAGCUAUAUUUGUGUAUCAGUUAUAUCACAAACUCCAGUAGUAUUUAUUAUAAGGCAAGCUUUUUUUUUUUUUUUUCAGUAUUUAGAUUACCUUUGCCACUAAAAAAAUUUAUUUUUGGUUAAGUUUUAAUACAGAAUUGCUCAAGAACAACUUAAGUUUUGAAUUAACAUUUUAAAUAAUAGAUAAGCGAGACAAUAUGAGCCACAUAAUAAUGUAUAGUGAAUAUUUGGGUAGUUAUGUUAGCUGUACAUUAUUAAAAUUGUAUUCCCAACAAUUAUUUUUAAUUUGUUAUUUUAACUAUAAUUGUCAAAAACUUAUCACAUAUAUAACUGCCACAUAGCUGAGUUUAUAAAAUUUCAUAUCACUUUGCUUCCCCUUCUUUUACUGCACAGAAUGCUUAAUAGUUGGGUGCCGGAAAAAUUAGCAUCUUGCUAUAGAUGCUAAUUUAUGGCCAAUUUAUACUUUAAUGCUUUUUUUUAUUUUGCGCUAAUUUCUGACAUAGAUGCUAUUUUAGCUUAUUUUAAAAAUUAAGUUUUUUUUUUUUUUAGCUAAAUUAGUAUAAAAUGUCAAUUCAUUUGUAAAAAAAAAAUCCUCUAUAAAAUGCCAAAAACUGCUACAUUCUUAAAGACUGUUUUCAAAAUGGUGUUACCAAAUGUAUCGUAUCACAUUUAGAACUGACUCACUUUAUAUUCGUGCCUGGCAGUUGGUCUGGGACUCACACAUUUGCAUAAUUUAAUUUUACUACAAUAUGUUUGUCACUAUAGACUUAUUAGCAAAUCAGUUGAUACACAAAAAAAUUACUACCAUGUUUGUUGUAGAUUUCCUCUCAUUUCACAGACUUAACUCAAUCCAAUUGAUUUGUGAAUUGCUAUAAAUUAAACCUCCAAUUUUAUGUUUUUUUAGAAUAUUGUACUACCAAUUUUUUUAGUGAAUUUAACAUUUGAAAAUUUUGUGGUUUUAAUCCAAAAAUGCAUGACCAAUUUUUUUUACAUAACUAUAAUACUGUUACUUAGUUUUCAAAGUGUAGAAUGCUAAUUUUGGGGAAAAUAGAUGCUAAUUUUUACAGCCCCUAUUAAUAGCCUUAUUUAGUACACCAAAAAUUUUAUUGCAUCAAUUUCAAAUUGAAUAAUUUUAACAAAAUAAUGGAUUUGUUGAAAUAGCAAAUGUAAAUAAUCGUAGGUUAUUAUUUACAACCGCUGAUUUCAAUAUUUCCAUGUCAACAAUCUGAACAAUGUACAUAAGAUUUAAAAAAAUCAUCAUCAGUAAUUAGCACAAAGACAAAUACUGAAACAAAUCACAAAUAUGAUUUUGUGUGGUACAGUUUAGGUAGCCAUUCAACUUUGUUGAGUCCACUGUACUAAAACAAAUAUUAUCCCAGAUAUUAUUUAAUAAUUUUUAUAUCCUGCAUUUAUUACUUUUGGCAUUGUAAACAGUAUUUUUCAUUGAAAUUUAGGCCAUAUCUAUGAAUCACAGAACUCUAUGACUAUUGUUGUUCGAAUGUCAAUGCAAUUCACAGACUCCUCUUAGUACUAUUGGUCAUGACUACAGACAAGAUUUUAUGGUUUUAUUUACAGGCCAUUUUCAUUUUUAAAACACGAGAUUUCGGUGUUAUUUUUAUUUUUUAUGAAAUCUGUUUAUUAAAAAAGAUAGCAUAUUACUGAACAAAUAUGAUACUUUAAUAUUCCAUUUUACUAAUUUCUCCAAAACAGUAUUAUUUUGACUGAUACAUGAUGCACUGUUUUCAUAUAAUGAUUUGUAAUAAGUAUGACUAACUUUUCAGAACAAAAAUAAAAUCAAGUAUUUCUGUGUUUGAAAAAUGUUCUAAGGUCAUAAUGUAAAAAUAAGUAGCUAUAACAGCUGCAAGAUUAAAAAUAGGAAACUUUCACCAAUUUUUUUAACUAAGUGGUGGUACAAACAUCAUGUUAAAUAAAUUACUUUCAUUGAAUUUAAUAUUUAAAAAUUUAGAUAUUCGUCUUUAGAGUUACGUUUUGAUUGAAAAUGCUGAUUUGUUUCAUAAUUUUAGUUGCAUUCCAGUGCUUUGUGGUGCAUUAACUGGAAUUUCGGUGUUAUAUGUAUGUAUUGUAAUUCUUUUUGGUGUUACAUCAGUUUUAUCGCUAUUCACAAUGUAAUAUUGUCCCUAGUCACAGCAUUUGAAAACUAAAAUGGCUUUAUUUUAUGAAAUACCUAUAACACUUUCACUAUGUUUUUAUUUUAAAUCAGUGUCAUUUUACACUAAAUUAAUCCUUGUUGACAGUUCGUAUUGUUACACCUAUCCCUCACUUAACACGUCUUCAGAUUGCGCGGAUUCAUUUAGCGCGAUGUGAAUUUUACUGCCCCAGUCUCAAAUAGCACGUCUGUUAAUUUCAGUUAGCACGAAAUCUCGGCAGGCAAAAAGAAAGUCGAGCACGACGCCACAAAGUCUGUUUCAACUUAUGUAAACAACAGAUGUGCCCAGAGAUACAGUCAGCAAAACAAGGAGGGAAGAGAUGCACGCGCAGGUCUGUCUACGCUAUCGGCUGUUGUACAAACAUCAGGUAUGGCAAGUUAAAUUGUGGCCAUGGAGUGUAAAGGACCAAAUGUUUUUACGACAGCGCGUAUGCCGCCGUGCCGUACUGUUGUCGCCUGGCCACAAACCGGGCCGUGAACUCAGUCUAGCCAGUGGCAGGGAAUUCACUCAAACAAAAGCAACGUCUGCCCAUUCAGCUGCCGUUAACUGUACGUUCUUGAUCACACAUAAUGCAUUGUGUUCACGUAUUUGAGACAAAACUAGAAGUAUUACGUUGCGCAGAUUGUCAUGAAGGCCAUGCUUAUGUUGGUCGCACUCUAGUUUUAAGCAAGUCAACUGCGCACAAUCGUACAAAAUAAGGACUCCUAUCAAAAGUUUAUAUAAGUCUGAUACUGUUGGUUGUACUAGAGGGAAUAUUUUGACAUUAGAUACCGGAACAGAAAUCAACAGAUGAUUCAUAUGGAUAAGGUUGUUAAAUGCAUGUUGCAAUCAAAAAAAUAAUCACUGGCCUGACAGGAUUGGUGUGAACCAGGUGGUGAUAAGCGAAUAAGUACUUCAAUUUUUGAAAAAUUAAAAUGUAAUCAUCUGGACUGUAAUAUGUAUCGGUAUCACUGUCAGUAAAGGAUUGUUUGGAAAGGUACGCAAUGUGAGUUGAAGGUCACUCCCGGGCAGGCAAGUCAGCCCGCUGACUGACGAUAAAGUACAUACAUAACCAGGUAUCUCCCGUUACGCUGUGUCGUAUUUGUCAUACAAAGUGCAAUGGCAUAUAAAGAUUAAUGGUGUGACAUAUUUAUAGUCGAGUGUUAUUCAGCACAUUAAUAUUACGUAAAAUAUAUUUUCAUACACAAUUUUGGAACACAAUAAAUAAAUUAGCCUUGCUAUUUAUGUAAACUAAUGCUUCAGAAUACGUGAUUUUGAAUAACAUGAGCAAUUUUAGGAACAAAUUAGUCAUGCUAAGUGAGGGAUAGGUGUAUUGAUACUGAAAAAUGUUUAAAUUCACUGUAUUCCAGCCAAUCAGGAACCAGCAUUUAUUAAUUUAAGAACAUUUUAAAUGAAUUAAAAAAGAAUUAAAUAGCAUCUAAAAAUGGUUGAAGAAGUCUGUGUAACAUGGUGUUAAAUCCGCUACACAUCAAGUGUAAAUAAGUAAUUAGACCAUUUACUACAAUACUGCAGUGAUUUAAGUACGGUCUUAAGUGUUUUUAUAUAUAAGACAGUGUUAUUACCAGCAAUAUAUCAAAGUGAACGGCAUAUUAAUUGAGUAAAUUGGUCUGCAAUUUUUUCCUCACGCACAACAAUAUUUGAAUAAACAGUAUUGGUUGUUAUAUGUGUAUCACGAGAGCAUAAAACACUCAUAAAACAUGAUUUAAGCAAUUUAAUGUAACCAACACAUACUGUCACGAGUGAAAACAAUGAAUUUUUGAGUUGAACACUAUUUGUAAUUUUCUGGUUCUCACUCACUCAGUGGUCCUUUUUGAAGGUUUCUUGUGACUCCCUCUGAGCCUAAGCUAUCCGAAGCGAACCCCAUUAUUAAAUCGUCAGCAAAACAUUACCAGUGUUGUAUUAUUUUGAAGUCUUAUGAAACCGUAAAUGUGAAAUGAAUGUUUGAUUCUUUUAAUGUGUCCGACAUAUAUCUGGAAUUUUAACUAUGAAAACAGUCUUUCAGCCAUAAAGUUACUUAUUGUUUAUGUUUCAUGUAUGAACAUUAUGUUGUAAAUUUAUGAUUUUUGAAGAAAAUAGCACAAACGAAUUAAGAGACAAACUAAGCUAUACCUUAGUACAAUAAAUUAUACUGAAGUUCAGUACUACACUAACUGUGGAAUUUAUUGCAUGUUCAAUUUAAAAUCAACAUAUAAAAUAGUUUCAUGAUAUUGAUGUUGAUCAGAUUUAUUUUUAUACUAUAUAUUGUUUUUCCUGUAUGAAUUACAGUACUUUGGGCUACCAUAAUGCACACAAUUCUUCUGAGCCGUGCGGUAUUGUUUAUACUUUGUUUAAUCAUAGCCUCCAGUCAAUAAUAAUUAAAUUAUAUGAGGUAGUAUUAACAGUACAGACAUGUAUGUAAAAAAAUAUAUAUAUAGUCACGGUAUAACACAAA
Molecule: long non-coding RNA, 6385 nt
Organism: Bacillus rossius redtenbacheri
Lineage: Eukaryota; Metazoa; Arthropoda; Insecta; Phasmatodea; Bacillidae
Exons: 2
Source: RefSeq, a predicted model, not a curated record